GGGCCUGACUACUAAAAAGGUCAGCCUGCCCAGUGACUUAGUUUAACGGCCGCGGUACCCUAACCGUGCGAAGGUAGCAUAAUCACUUGUUCUUUAAAUAGGGACUUGUAUCAACGGCAUCACGAGAGCUUUACUGUCUCCUUUUUCUAAUCAGUGAAACUGAUCUCCCCGUGAAGAAGCGGGGAUGAACCUAUAAGACGAGAAGACCCCAUGGAGCUUUAAACCUUAACGCACCUCUUUUUCUGCAAAUCAUUUCAAGUAAAGAGUGUUGCAUGCUAGUUUUAGAUUGGGGGGAUCACGGAGCAAAAAUUAACCUCCUUGAUAAACGGACUCUGUUCUUAUUUGAGAAAUACCUUUCCAAGAAUCAAUAAAUUGAUGUUUAAUGACCCAAAUUUUUGAUCAACGAACCAAGUUACCCUGGGGAUAACAGCGCAAUCUACUUUGAGAGCCCAUAUCGACAAGUAGGUUUACGACCUCGAUGUUGGAUCAGGAUAUCCCAGUGGUGCAGCCGCUACUAAUGGUUCGUUUGUUCAACGAUUAAAAUCCUACGUGAUCUGAGUUCAGACCGGAGGACCCCCUGUUUAUUCAAAAAAUGGUGUGUGGUUUUGAGUUUAAACCGGGGUCCCCUGUGUUAAACCAAAAGACUAUAGGUUUUUUGACGCAAAAGGGGUGUGCGUUCUUACGA
This 685-nucleotide ribosomal RNA is filed under the name Clinotarsus curtipes (bicolored frog). RNAcentral describes it as "partial 16S ribosomal RNA". The stretch from base 1 to 613 matches the Rfam family "Bacterial large subunit ribosomal RNA", at positions 1831 to 2925 of the family's 2925-position model. The record is from RNAcentral. Lineage: Eukaryota; Metazoa; Chordata; Amphibia; Anura; Ranidae.